This 864-nucleotide ribosomal RNA is filed under the name Triticum aestivum (bread wheat). RNAcentral describes it as "partial small subunit ribosomal RNA". Lineage: Eukaryota; Viridiplantae; Streptophyta; Magnoliopsida; Poales; Poaceae. The record is from RNAcentral.
AUGAACAGUUUGUAUGUGCCAGAUGAUGAAUUUUCUGAUUCCGAGCAAGUUCUUAUUAAUAACAUUUCUGCAGUGUCCGUGUUUCAUGAUGUGUUGUUCACAAGGUUAUUCAAAACACCUCGUAACACCUCCAUAUUAACUGGUGCCCAGAAAACAAAAGAGUUGCUAGAGGGACAUCCAGUUAGAUUUUACGAACAAAUUCGUCUUGAGAAGCACAUAUUCUACUUGCUGCGAGAUGCUUUGUGUGAGAGAGGCUUACUGAAGGAUACAAAGCGAAUGACAGUGGACGAACAACUACUCAUGUUUCUACAUACCAUUGGUCACAAUGUUAGGAACUGUGUCAUCCAAGAUAGAUAUCAGCAUUCUGGUGAACCAAUCAGCCGACACUUCAACAUUGUUUUAGAUGCCAUAAAUGGGUUGCGUGAUGUUUGCAUAACAGAUCCAAGGAAUGAAAUCCCAGCGAAAAUAUUGGGUGAUGCAAGGUUCUACCCAUAUUUCAAGAACUGCCUAGGAGCAAUUGAUGGGACACACAUUGAGGCAAAAAUCAGGCUAGAUAAGCAAACUCCUUAUAGAAAUAGGCAUGGUUACCCCUCUCAAAAUGUAAUGGCAGCAGUGUCAUUUGACAUGACAUUCGCAUAUGUCGCUGCUGGAUGGGAAGGUUCUGCAUCAGAUCAAGCAGUUCUAAGAUGGGCUGUUACUAGUGGGGGUUUUGUUGUUCCUGAAGAUUCUGACCGUGCUAUCAAACCUUACGUGCAGGUUAAUCAUCAUGAUGAGGUGUUCGAGCUUUAUGAGCAUGGGGAAGCACAACAACAUGUUGACCAUGGUGAUCAGCAAGUUAGAGGGCAAGCAAGAGAAGAUGAAUGA